CUAUGCGCCUUGCCAGCCCGCUCAGUCAGAGUUUGAUCCUGGCUCAGGACAAACGCUGGCGGGGUGCAUGAGACAUGCAAGUCGAACGAGGUGCCAUCGGGCUUGCUCGAUGGUUACCUAGUGGCGGACGGCUGAGUAACGCGUAGGUGACCUACCCGGAAGUGGGGGAAUAACUGCCCGAAAGGGUGGCUAAUACCGCAUGUGGUCGACGAUUCAAUUCGUCGUCUAAAGGAGUAAUCCGCUUCCGGCGGGGCCUGCGUCCGAUUAGCUAGUUGGUGGGGUAAUGGCUCACCAAGCGACGAUCGGUAGCUGGUCUGAGAGGAUGAUCAGCCAGACUGGGACUGAGAACGGCCCAG
Molecule: ribosomal RNA, 356 nt
Filed under: uncultured bacterium
Lineage: Bacteria
Description: bacterial SSU rRNA
Rfam family: Bacterial small subunit ribosomal RNA
Source: RNAcentral